UUAAGUUCAGCGGGUAUCCCUACCUGAUCCGAGGUCAAACUUAGAGAGUGGGGGGUUGAUGGCCAGCGUCCAUCGACACCCUGUAGCGAGAAGAUUUACUACGCUCAGGGCCCGACGGCACCGCCACUGAUUUUAAGGCCCGCUGGGGAAGCAGCGGAGCCCAAGACCAAGCAAUGCUUGAGGGUUGUAAUGACGCUCGA
Molecule: unclassified non-coding RNA, 200 nt
Filed under: Hyaloscyphaceae sp.
Lineage: Eukaryota; Fungi; Ascomycota; Leotiomycetes; Helotiales; Hyaloscyphaceae
Description: partial internal transcribed spacer 2
Source: RNAcentral